UCCUGGCUCAGGAUUACGCUGGCGGCGUGCCUUAUACAUGCAAGUCGAACGAACCUUCGGGUUAGUGGCAAACGGGUGAGUACCACGUAAGUAACCUACCCUCAAAUGGGGAAUAACUGUCCGAAAGGUCAGCUAAUACCGCAUGUGGUUUUGGGGUGCAAUUCCCCACAACUAAAGAUUUAUCGUUUGAGGAGGGGCUUGCGCCUGAUUAGCUUGUUGGUGAGGUAAUAGCUCACCAAGGCAAAGAUCAGUAGCUGGACUGAGAGGUUGACCAGCCACACUGGAACUGAGACACGGUCCAGACUCCUACGGGAGGCAGCAGUAAGGAAUCUUCCACAAUGGGCGAAAGCCUGAUGGAGCAACGCCGCGUGCAGGAUGAAGGCCCUCGGGUCGUAAACUGCUUUUCUGUGUGACGAAUAUUCGGACGGUAGCACAGGAAUAAGCGUCGGCUAACUACGUGCCAGCAGCCGCGGUAAUACGUAGGACGCAAGCGUUAUCCGGAUUUACUGGGUUUAAAGCGUGCGUAGGUUGUGCAGUAAGUCUGCGAUUAAAGAUCAAGGCUCAACCUUGGGAAUGUCGUAGAUACUGCCGCACUAGAGGUCAGACGGGGAAAGCGGAAUUCCCGGUGUAGGGGUAAAACCCGUUGAUAUCGGGAGGAACACCAGAGGCGAAGGCGGCUUUCUAGACUGAUUCUGACGCUAAGGCACGAAAGCCAGGGGAGCAAAGCGGAUUAGAUACCCGCGUAGUUCUGGCCCUAAACGAUGGAUGCUAGGCGUUGGAGGUAUCGACCCCUCCAGUGUCGCAGGGAAACCGGUAAGCAUCCCACCUGGGGAGUACGGUCGCAAGAUUAAAACUCAAAGGAAUUGACGGGGACCCGCACAAGCAGCGGAGCGCGUGGCUUAAUACGAUGAUACGCGUAGAACCUUACCAGGACUUGACAUCCGACUAAAACCUGCGAAAGUAGGCGUGUUCUUUUUAGAACGAGUCGUGACAGGUGUUGCAUGGCUGUCGUCAGCUCGUGCCGUGAGGUGUAGAGUUAAGUCUCGUAACGAGCGCAACCCCUAUCGUAUGUUGUAUUUUUCAUGCGAGACUGCCAGGGCUAACCUGGAGGAAGGAGGGGAUGAGGUCAAGUCAGUACGGCCCUUAUGUCCUGGGCUGCACACACGCUACAAUGGCUAGUACAAUGGGUUAUUGCCAAACCGCGAGGUGGAGCUAAUCUCAUCAAAGCUAGUCUCAGUACGGAUUGGAGUCUGCAUCUCGACUCCAUGAAGCUGGAGUUGCUAGUAAUCACCGGUCAGCUAUACGGUGGUGAUAUGUUCCCGGGUCUUGUACACACCGCCCGUCACACCGCGAAAGUUAGCAACACCCGAAGUCGCUGUGCCAACCGCAAGGAAGCAGGCGCCUAAGGUGGGGUUGAUGAUUGGGGUGAAGUCGU
RNAcentral lists this ribosomal RNA (1435 nucleotides) under uncultured organism. RNAcentral describes it as "bacterial SSU rRNA". It matches the Rfam family "Bacterial small subunit ribosomal RNA". The record is from RNAcentral.